GGGGCGGUAGCUCAGUGGUAGAGUGGAAGAUUGCAAUAUACGGCCUAUCAUUGGUCGCUUAACAUUGCAAGCUAUCUUUAGGUCGCCGGUUCGAUCCCGGCCCGUCCCU
Molecule: transfer RNA, 109 nt
Filed under: Aspergillus tamarii
Lineage: Eukaryota; Fungi; Ascomycota; Eurotiomycetes; Eurotiales; Aspergillaceae
Rfam family: tRNA
About the family: Transfer RNA (tRNA) molecules are approximately 80 nucleotides in length.
Source: Rfam by way of RNAcentral